AGAACUCCGUUUUGGAAACAUGGCUUGGACAGUUUGUCAGUUGAGUAAAUGCUGAUUAUGAUCCUGUGUCACUUGGAUCCAAAAGAGUUUUGGGCAGUCACCUGGUUCUACCUGAUCUUGAAAGGAGAGGUUGCUCUGAGGAAAACCUGAGUGGCUCACCCUGGCUCUCUUCCCAGCAUGGGAUUCUGACAUUAUCCAUACAAUGAUGAUGAUUGUAACAACCCCAAGUCUGUACAUCAGAAGAAGAGGACCCGGUCUUCGGUGCUC
This is a long non-coding RNA of Fukomys damarensis (Damara mole-rat), 267 nucleotides long. RefSeq lists it as uncharacterized. The record is from RefSeq and is a predicted model, not a curated record. The transcript has 3 exons. Lineage: Eukaryota; Metazoa; Chordata; Mammalia; Rodentia; Bathyergidae.